CCCUGGCGGGUGCUUACACAUGCAAGUCGAACGAUGAUGCCCAGCUUGCUGGGUGGAUUAGUGGCGAACGGGUGAGUAACACGUGAGUAACCUGCCCCUGACUCCGGGAUAAGCGUUGGAAACGACGUCUAAUACUGGAUAUGACUGCCGGCCGCAUGGUCUGGUGGUGGAAAGAUUUUUUGGUUGGGGAUGGACUCGCGGCCUAUCAGCUUGUUGGUGAGGUAAUGGCUCACCAAGGCGACGACGGGUAGCCGGCCUGAGAGGGUGACCGGCCACACUGGGACUGAGACACGGCCCAGACUCCUACGGGAGGCAGCAGUGGGGAAUAUUGCACAAUGGGCGAAAGCCUGAUGCAGCAACGCCGCGUGAGGGAUGACGGCCUUCGGGUUGUAAACCUCUUUUAGUAGGGAAGAAGCGAAAGUGACGGUACCUGCAGAAAAAGCACCGGCUAACUACGUGCCAGCAGCCGCGGUAAUACGUAGGGUGCAAGCGUUGUCCGGAAUUAUUGGGCGUAAAGAGCUCGUAGGCGGUUUGUCGCGUCUGCUGUGAAAUCCCGAGGCUCAACCUCGGGCUUGCAGUGGGUACGGGCAGACUAGAGUGCGGUAGGGGAGAUUGGAAUUCCUGGUGUAGCGGUGGAAUGCGCAGAUAUCAGGAGGAACACCGAUGGCGAAGGCAGAUCUCUGGGCCGUAACUGACGCUGAGGAGCGAAAGCAUGGGGAGCGAACAGGAUUAGAUACCCUGGUAGUCCAUGCCGUAAACGUUGGGCGCUAGAUGUAGGGACCUUUCCACGGUUUCUGUGUCGUAGCUAACGCAUUAAGCGCCCCGCCUGGGGAGUACGGCCGCAAGGCUAAAACUCAAAGGAAUUUGACGGGGGCCCGCACAAGCGGCGGAGCAUGCGGAUUAAUUCGAUGCAACGCGAAGAACCUUACCAAGGCUUGACAUACACCGGAAACGGCCAGAGAUGGUCGCCCCCUG
RNAcentral lists this ribosomal RNA (975 nucleotides) under Curtobacterium sp. HBUM178464. RNAcentral describes it as "bacterial SSU rRNA". It matches the Rfam family "Bacterial small subunit ribosomal RNA", at positions 34 to 1019 of the family's 1533-position model. Lineage: Bacteria; Bacillati; Actinomycetota; Actinomycetes; Micrococcales; Microbacteriaceae. The record is from RNAcentral.